GGAAUAUUGGACAAUGGGGGAAACCCUGAUCCAGCGACGCCGCGUGUGUGAAGAAGGCCUGCGGGUUGUAAAGCACUUUCGGUGGGAACGAAAUAUGCCGGGUUAAUACCCCGGCAGUCUGACGUUACUCAACGAAGCAGCACCGCCUAACUCUGUGCCAGCAGCCGCGGUAAUACAGAGGGUGCGAGCGUUAAUCGGAAUUACUGGGCGUAAAGCGCACGUAGGUGGCGACGUAAGUCGGGUGUGAAAGCCCCGGGCUCAACCUGGGAAUUGCAUUCGAGACUGUGUUGCUGGAGUACGGAAGAGGAGGGCGGAAUUCCCGGUGUAGCGGUGAAAUGCGUAGAUAUCGGGAGGAACAUCAGUGGCGAAGGCGGCCCUCUGGUCCAGUACUGACACUCAAGUGCGAAAGCGUGGGGAGCAAAC
RNAcentral lists this ribosomal RNA (423 nucleotides) under uncultured bacterium. Its description in RNAcentral is "bacterial SSU rRNA". It matches the Rfam family "Bacterial small subunit ribosomal RNA", at positions 358 to 773 of the family's 1533-position model. The record is from RNAcentral.